AUUGAACGCUGGCGGCAGGCCUAACACAUGCAAGUCGAGCGAGCGGCGGACGGGUGAGUAAUGCCUGGGAAUUGCCCAGUCGAGGGGGAUAACAGUUGGAAACGACUGCUAAUACCGCAUACGAUUGGAUUGCCUAGGUGGGAUUAGCUAGUUGGUGAGGUAAUGGCUCACCAGGGCUAGUAUCCCUAGCUGGUCGGAGAGGAUGAUCGGCCACACGGGAACGGGGAACCGGUCCAGACUCCUACGGGAGGCAGAAGGGGGGAUUAUUGCACAAUGGGGGAAACCCUGAUGCAGCCAUGCGCGGUGGGUGAAGAAGGCCUUCGGGUGGUAAAGCACUUUCAGCGAGGAGGCGUUACUCGCAGAAGAAGCACCGGCUAACUACGUGCCAGCAGCCGCGGUAAUAC
Molecule: ribosomal RNA, 404 nt
Filed under: uncultured bacterium
Lineage: Bacteria
Description: partial 16S ribosomal RNA
Rfam family: Bacterial small subunit ribosomal RNA
Source: RNAcentral